UUAUCAGUGAGGUUGCUCCUUACUUUUAGUAUUUGUAAUGUUGCUGCAGUAUGUGAUUGGAUUCAGUAAGUGUUUGAUUAGAUUCCGCAUUUAUCAGAGAACUGCAACUCUUUGAUGAAUUCUGUAUGAU
The sequence is a small nucleolar RNA, 130 nucleotides long. Its record names the gene U8. It matches the Rfam family "U8 small nucleolar RNA". From Rfam's summary of the family: U8 is a member of the C/D class of snoRNA which contain the C (UGAUGA) and D (CUGA) box motifs. U8 is the RNA component of a small complex (the U8 snoRNP) which is required for accumulation of mature large subunit ribosomal RNAs, 5.8S and 28S rRNAs. The record is from Ensembl.